RNAcentral lists this small RNA (125 nucleotides) under Arabidopsis thaliana (thale cress). RNAcentral describes it as "ATSL007080". Lineage: Eukaryota; Viridiplantae; Streptophyta; Magnoliopsida; Brassicales; Brassicaceae. The record is from RNAcentral.
CCAGUUCUCGCAAGGUAAACAUCCUAAGCAUGCUACUUUCAUCACAUUCCUAAUGACUUUAAGCGAUAGAAGAGUAACUUUUGGAAAUCGAAUUCUUCACAUAUUUCCCUUGUUUUGGCUCUCUU